This 211-nucleotide ribosomal RNA is filed under the name uncultured bacterium. RNAcentral describes it as "partial 16S ribosomal RNA". It matches the Rfam family "Bacterial small subunit ribosomal RNA", at positions 1170 to 1382 of the family's 1533-position model. The record is from RNAcentral.
AAGGUGGGGAUGACGUCAAGUCCGCAUGCUCCUUACGUCUAGGGCUACACACGUCCUACAAUGGGGUCGACAGUGGGAUGCAAGCCGCGAGGUGGAGCCAAUCCCAAACGGACCUCUCAGUUCGGAUAGUAGUCUGCAACUCGACUACUUGAAGUCGGAAUCGCUAGUAAUGGCGGAUCAGCAUGCCGCCGUGAAUACGUUCCCGGGUCUU